AAAUUUUAAUGAUCGCGCGCAAUGCGGUCGAUAGAAUCAGUGUUUGUUGCGCAGUAUUUUAACAUUUUUCUGAGUAAAAUAACUCGUGUUAAAUUAAAUUAUUAAUUCAUUUGAAUUAUAAUUCGCGAAGUUAGAGUCAGUGAGUUCGAUUGUUACUUAAACACGCGCGUUGAUAGUCUUUUAUUUUUCUUUUUUCAUAUUUUUUCUUGUUCAAUAUUCGUUUUCGGUAUUAGAGUCAGUGCCCAAGAGGAUAAGGCCUCUCCAGGAAAUCAAGAUCACGCUUUACAGCAUCAACUUUUUGUAUUUUUUGGGGAAAAUCCAAGAUGGCUCUAAAGCCAAGAAUAUCUUCUACAGUCUCCACUUCCCCUAAUCCUCCAAGAAUCUUACGAUGCUUCAAAAGUUAAAAAUAAAUUUUUUGCGGUGUUUACUUCUGCCAUGGGAUUCUCAGUAGUAUCUUGGUGAGAGUCUUCACGAUAACUUUCCUUGCUCCAGCAUCGAUGAUAACGUUCUUCACAUCUAUCCCGUGAGUCGCAUGCAUUUAUGUUCCUCCGGUCACUCAAUCAUGUCGUAGGAUGAAAGGUCCGAAUCGGCACGGGUGACUGGUUGUAUACGUAGAAUUUUUUAUGAGCAUAGUGACCGCG
Frieseomelitta varia is the source of this 641-nucleotide long non-coding RNA. RefSeq lists it as uncharacterized. The transcript has 4 exons. The record is from RefSeq and is a predicted model, not a curated record. Lineage: Eukaryota; Metazoa; Arthropoda; Insecta; Hymenoptera; Apidae.